RNAcentral lists this ribosomal RNA (253 nucleotides) under uncultured bacterium. RNAcentral describes it as "partial 16S ribosomal RNA". It matches the Rfam family "Bacterial small subunit ribosomal RNA", at positions 524 to 776 of the family's 1533-position model. The record is from RNAcentral.
UACGAAGGGGGCUAGCGUUGUUCGGAAUUACUGGGCGUAAAGCGCACGUAGGCGGAUAUUUAAGUCAGGGGUGAAAUCCCGGGGCUCAACCCCGGAACUGCCUUUGAUACUGGGUAUCUCGAGUCCGAGAGAGGUGAGUGGAAUUCCGAGUGUAGAGGUGAAAUUCGUAGAUAUUCGGAGGAACACCAGUGGCGAAGGCGGCUCACUGGACACGUAUUGACGCUGAGGUGCGAAAGCGUGGGGAGCAAACAGG